UACGUAGGGUGCAAGCGUUAAUCGGAAUUACUGGGCGUAAAGCGUGCGCAGGCGGCUUUGCAAGACAGAUGUGAAAUCCCCGGGCUUAACCUGGGAACUGCAUUUGUGACUGCAUGGCUGGAGUGCGGCAGAGGGGGAUGGAAUUCCGCGUGUAGCAGUGAAAUGCGUAGAGAUGUGGAGGAACACCGAUGGCGAAGGCAGCCUCCUGGGCCAGCACUGACGCUCAUGCACGAAAGCGUGGGGAGCAAACAGG
This 253-nucleotide ribosomal RNA is filed under the name uncultured bacterium. Its description in RNAcentral is "partial 16S ribosomal RNA". It matches the Rfam family "Bacterial small subunit ribosomal RNA", at positions 524 to 776 of the family's 1533-position model. The record is from RNAcentral.